UACGGAGGGUGCGAGCGUUGUCCGGAAUUAUUGGGCGUAAAGAGCUCGUAGGCGGCUUGUCACGUCGGAUGUGAAAGCCCGGGGCUUAACCUCGGGCGUGCAGGCGAUACGGGCAAUACUUGAGUGCUGUAGGGGAGACUGGAAUUCCUGGUGUAGCGGUGAAAUGCGCAGAUAUCAGGAGGAACACCAAUGGCGAAGGCAGGUCUCUGGGUAGUUACUGACGCUGAGGAGCGAAAGCAUGGGUAGCGAACAGGAUUAGA
Molecule: ribosomal RNA, 260 nt
Filed under: uncultured prokaryote
Description: partial 16S ribosomal RNA
Rfam family: Bacterial small subunit ribosomal RNA
Source: RNAcentral